Long non-coding RNA from Oreochromis aureus, 1379 nucleotides. RefSeq lists it as uncharacterized. Lineage: Eukaryota; Metazoa; Chordata; Actinopteri; Cichliformes; Cichlidae. The record is from RefSeq and is a predicted model, not a curated record. The transcript has 4 exons.
UUUUGUAAGAGCACGCGCAUGUUUUGCGGGGAAGGAUUCUGGAUCAGCACCAUGAUGCAAACUCGUAGCCACUGUGUAUACAGUAUUCUGGAAAAGGUUCUGUAUUCAGCUGACAUGAUGAUGCUGCUCAUCUUCAUCUCCAGCUGUGUGGGUGGAGCAGCAGCAGAGGUGGAGGCUGAGGAUGGUGUGGAUGAUCAGGAGCUUCACUCUGAAUCCUGACCUCCUCCAUGUGCUUCAGUGACUUCUGCCUCCAUAAUUUGGUCACCAUGGCGACCAGCUGGAUGAUUGGUGUCCCUCCUCUCACUUUCUGAGGAUGUCAGUGGAGCCGGUGGAGCUUUUGUUACCAGAGAUGGGAUCAGAUCUGAGGAGGCAGAGGAAUCAUUUCAGAGAGUCUGUCCAUAGUUGUUUUCAACACUGGUGUGUUCGAACUGUGAGCACCCUUUUAGCUAAAUGCAGUGAUCUGAUUGGUCAGAUCUGUUUAUUUGUACGCAAAAAUCAGGAAAAUCAAACUUUUACAGGAAAAAGUAAAUGCCUCAAAUUUGUGCUGUGACAUCAGGCGAUGUGUGAACAGCUGCAUUAAAAUUCAUGAGUCUGAAAAAUAUUUUUAACACAUGAAAAGAGCUGCUCCUUACUGAACCCGACCCUGCAGAGCACUGAGGGCAUCCUGUCCAGCUUCAGGACCACCUGGCAGGAGUUUGUGGAGGACCUGGGCUUCUGCUGGUCAUCGCCCUCCUCUCCCUGGGCCUCGGCUACUACGUCAGCAGAGUCCUGCCUUUCUCAGGGUGGAGAGGAGGCAGCAAAAUAGAUGAAGAUCUUUAUGUAGAACAAAAACUCUGGUAUUUAUUUGUUGUGCAAAUCUGAUCAUUUUAUUGGAAUAUGAACAACAUCAUGUGAUGCUGCCAGUGCAAAGAAGAGAGGACGGUGACUCAGAGACACCAACAGCUUCAUGUGUGGCCUAACACCUUUACAAGCACUCACUGAUAAAGUCACUUUUACAUCCCUGUUUGCUCUGUUACAAGCUGUAUAUUACUGAUGUUUUGUAUCUUUUCAUUGUUUUCUCCUCACUUGUUAUUUAUUCAAAUGUUGUUGGUAUGAAUUUUUCCCUCGCUGUCUUUAUUUCACACAAAUACCUGCAGCCUUUCUGACUGGAAACAGUUUUGUCAGGAUAACAGAGCCGACUGCAGAGAAACACCUGGACUGAGUUUAGAUGAAGCUUCAGGUUUAACUGUGGGAUUAUGGCAGCAGAUUAAUGCUUCUUACUUUGUUGUAUAUUCAUUUUAUCUUAAUGUGCUUUUGUUAAAGGUUUUCAGUGUUUAUUCCAUCAAACAUUUGAAGUCAUUUAAUGUGCAAAAUGAAUAAAUUCAUGACUGUAAUCUGCA